Molecule: transfer-messenger RNA, 378 nt
Filed under: Leadbetterella sp.
Lineage: Bacteria; Pseudomonadati; Bacteroidota; Cytophagia; Cytophagales; Leadbetterellaceae
Rfam family: transfer-messenger RNA
About the family: Bacterial tmRNA, also known as 10Sa RNA or SsrA, is named for its dual tRNA and mRNA-like properties. Its role is to liberate the mRNA from a stalled ribosome.
Source: RNAcentral
GGGGGCGACCGGUUUUGACGGCAUGAUGCCAUUGCGAGUAUAAGCAUGUAUGGAGUUGGUGGAAGGUCUUCAUUCAAAAAAUCUACCGAACAAUAUCUGGCAAUACAUCGUAUGCCAUGGCUGCUUAAUUUCGGAGUAAAUUAGCAUUCGCCAUCGUUCCUCUUUUGCUAACCUCUGUUGCGGGAGAUUCAGGAGCGUCGAAAAUAGAGAGGCGUUUUAGUGCGGACUUCUGACGCUAAAAUAGUAAACGAGAAGAUAAGGAUUGGGUUAGGCACGUCGGACGGCUUCCCAAUUUCGAAAAGUAAGACCGAAUAAACAUGUAGAAGGCUCGACAGUAGCCGUGUUCGGACCAGGGUUCGAAUCCCUGCGUCUCCACUU